UUUGGAGAAAUUUGAUCCUGGCUCAGGACGAACGCUGGCGGCGUGCUUAACACAUGCAAGUCGAACGAUGAACCUCCUUCGGGAGGGGAUUAGUGGCGAACGGGUGAGUAACACGUGGGCAAUCUGCCCUGCACUCUGGGACAAGCCCUGGAAACGGGGUCUAAUACCGGAUACUGACCCGCUUGGGCAUCCAAGCGGUUCGAAAGCUCCGGCGGUGCAGGAUGAGCCCGCGGCCUAUCAGCUUGUUGGUGAGGUAAUGGCUCACCAAGGCGACGACGGGUAGCCGGCCUGAGAGGGCGACCGGCCACACUGGGACUGAGACACGGCCCAGACUCCUACGGGAGGCAGCAGUGGGGAAUAUUGCACAAUGGGCGAAAGCCUGAUGCAGCGACGCCGCGUGAGGGAUGACGGCCUUCGGGUUGUAAACCUCUUUCAGCAGGGAAGAAGCGAAAGGACG
This 457-nucleotide ribosomal RNA is filed under the name Streptomyces sp. BAB-2844. RNAcentral describes it as "bacterial SSU rRNA". It matches the Rfam family "Bacterial small subunit ribosomal RNA", at positions 1 to 460 of the family's 1533-position model. The record is from RNAcentral. Lineage: Bacteria; Bacillati; Actinomycetota; Actinomycetes; Kitasatosporales; Streptomycetaceae.